GAAAAUUACGAUGCGUUCAUGCUUCUUCAAAUACCACAGAUAACUACUAAUUGAACUAAGAUGCGCUGUAGUCACACACACAUGAUUUACGUUUUAAAUCAAUCACAAAAAAAAUUGAAUCGCUAAAACAAUUAAAUAACAAAACUAUCUCUUUUUGUCAAUAAAUUAUUGCCUUACAAGGAGCUCAACGUCGCACCUCCUCAACACUUCGAACGUCUUCAACUGCAGUUGUGAUACUGGUUUCGGAGGAGUUAUAUCCGAUCGGCAGCUCCAAUUCUUUCAAGAAAACCAAAUUGAAUCCCACUGAGCAGAUUAUUUUUUAACCAAGGAGUGAUAAUUAGAAAAGAUGGUUUGUUUGAAGUGCAAGCAGGGCGGAGUGCUUUUCAUGUGCAAGAUAUGCAUGCAGGAAACGUGCAAGAAGUGUGAACAAUGGGAUGGAGGCGCAAAGUCCGCAUGCCCCAAAUGCUUCGAGGAAAAUUCCAUGGUCCUCAAGGCUAAUUUAAAGCACGGGAAAACGACGAAGAGAGUGAACCAGAAAUUAGCACUUGCCGCUGCAUUCUCAAAAUGACCCAUUGCGCCCCCAGACAGCAAUUUGGCAUGACUAAUUCGAGACUGUUAGCAGAUGAAACUCACGCACGUGUACAAUACAUAAAACUGACUCGCUAUUGAACAGUUGCUUCAAUGUGUUCUGAUAUAGAUUAGUUUUUAUUCUGAUAAAACCAUUCAUUAUUUGAUAAAAAAAUUUUGCAUAAAAGCUCCAAAA
This is a long non-coding RNA of Symsagittifera roscoffensis, 763 nucleotides long. RefSeq lists it as uncharacterized. The record is from RefSeq and is a predicted model, not a curated record. Lineage: Eukaryota; Metazoa; Xenacoelomorpha; Acoela; Convolutidae. The transcript is spliced from 3 exons.